Molecule: non-coding RNA, 107 nt
Organism: Stachybotrys chartarum IBT 40288
Lineage: Eukaryota; Fungi; Ascomycota; Sordariomycetes; Hypocreales; Stachybotryaceae
Source: Rfam
CACUCUGAUGAGAGUAAUUUGCGAUUGAUUCUCUUCGAUGGCUCUCUUUCGCCGGAGUAGCUAAAUCGUCUGGAUACAUGAUAUUUCUUUUCUUACAUAUUCUGAAC